RNAcentral lists this ribosomal RNA (252 nucleotides) under uncultured bacterium. RNAcentral describes it as "partial 16S ribosomal RNA". It matches the Rfam family "Bacterial small subunit ribosomal RNA", at positions 524 to 776 of the family's 1533-position model. The record is from RNAcentral.
UACAGAGGGUGCAAGCGUUAAUCGGAAUUACUGGGCGUAAAGCGUGCGUAGACGGUUAUGUAAGUCAGGUGUGAAAGCCCAGGGCUCAACCUUGGAAUUGCAUUUGAGACUGCAUAGCUAGGGUGCGGAAGAGGGAAGCGGAAUUUCCGGUGUAGCGGUGAAAUGCGUAGAUAUCGGAAGGAACACCAGUGGCGAAAGCGGCUUCCUGGUCCAGCACCGACGUCAGGCACGAAAGCGUGGGGAGCAAACAGG